This 253-nucleotide ribosomal RNA is filed under the name uncultured bacterium. RNAcentral describes it as "partial 16S ribosomal RNA". It matches the Rfam family "Bacterial small subunit ribosomal RNA", at positions 524 to 776 of the family's 1533-position model. The record is from RNAcentral.
UACGGGGGGAGCAAGCGUUGUUCGGAUUUACUGGGCGUAAAGCGCACGUAGGCGGAUUUGUAAGUCAGGGGUGAAAUCCCGGGGCUCAACCCCGGAACUGCCUUUGAUACUGCGAAUCUCGAGUCCGGAAGAGGUGAGUGGAAUUCCUAGUGUAGAGGUGAAAUUCGUAGAUAUUAGGAAGAACACCAGUGGCGAAGGCGGCUCACUGGUCCGGUACUGACGCUGAGGUGCGAAAGCUAGGGGAGCAAACGGG